GUAGGUGGCAAGCGUUGUCCGGAAUUAUUGGGGCGUAAAGCGCGCGCAGGCGGUUCUUUAAGUCUGAUGUGAAAGCCCACGGGCUCAACCGUGGAGGGUCAUUGGAAACUGGAGAGCUUGAGUACAGAAGAGGAAAGCGGAAUUCCACGUGUAGCGGUGAAAUGCGUAGAGAUGUGGAGGAACACCAGUGGCGAAGGCGGCUUUCUGGUCUGUAACUGACGCUGAGGCGCGAAAGCGUGGGGAGCAAACAGGAUUAGAUACCCUGGUAGUCCACGCCGUAAACGAUGAGUGCUAAGUGUUAGGGGGGUUUCCGCCCCUUAGUGCUGCAGCUAACGCAUUAAGCACUCCGCCUGGGGAGUACGGCCGCAAAGGCUG
RNAcentral lists this ribosomal RNA (375 nucleotides) under uncultured organism. RNAcentral describes it as "partial 16S ribosomal RNA". It matches the Rfam family "Bacterial small subunit ribosomal RNA", at positions 527 to 896 of the family's 1533-position model. The record is from RNAcentral.